RNAcentral lists this ribosomal RNA (1471 nucleotides) under Campylobacter jejuni. RNAcentral describes it as "partial 23S ribosomal RNA". It matches the Rfam family "Bacterial large subunit ribosomal RNA", at positions 1466 to 2925 of the family's 2925-position model. The record is from RNAcentral. Lineage: Bacteria; Pseudomonadati; Campylobacterota; Epsilonproteobacteria; Campylobacterales; Campylobacteraceae.
GGAAGGACGCUUAGGGCUAAGGGGGCUAGCGGAUGGAAGUGCUAGUCUAAGGUUGUAGGAGGUUAUACAGGCAAAUCCGUAUAACAAUACUCCGAGAACUGAAAGGCUUUUUGAAGUCUUCGGAUGGAUAGAAGAACCCCUGAUGCCGUCGAGCCAAGAAAAGUUUCUAAGUUUAGCUAAUGUUGCCCGUACCGUAAACCGACACAGGUGGGUGGGAUGAGUAUUCUAAGGCGCGUGGAAGAACUCUCUUUAAGGAACUCUGCAAAAUAGCACCGUAUCUUCGGUAUAAGGUGUGGUUAGCUUCGUACUAGGAUUUACUCCGAAAGCGAAGAAACUUACAACAAAGAGUCCCUCCCGACUGUUUACCAAAAACACAGCACUCUGCUAACUCGUAAGAGGAUGUAUAGGGUGUGACGCCUGCCCGGUGCUCGAAGGUUAAUUGAUGGGGUUAGCAUUAGCGAAGCUCUUGAUCGAAGCCCGAGUAAACGGCGGCCGUAACUAUAACGGUCCUAAGGUAGCGAAAUUCCUUGUCGGUUAAAUACCGACCUGCAUGAAUGGCGUAACGAGAUGGGAGCUGUCUCAAAGAGGGAUCCAGUGAAAUUGUAGUGGAGGUGAAAAUUCCUCCUACCCGCGGCAAGACGGAAAGACCCCGUGGACCUUUACUACAGCUUGACACUGCUACUUGGAUAAGAAUGUGCAGGAUAGGUGGGAGGCUUUGAGUAUAUGACGCCAGUUGUAUAUGAGCCAUUGUUGAGAUACCACUCUUUCUUAUUUGGGUAGCUAACCAGCUUGAGUUAUCCUCAAGUGGGACAAUGUCUGGUGGGUAGUUUGACUGGGGCGGUCGCCUCCCAAAUAAUAACGGAGGCUUACAAAGGUUGGCUCAGAACGGUUGGAAAUCGUUCGUAGAGUAUAAAGGUAUAAGCCAGCUUAACUGCAAGACAUACAAGUCAAGCAGAGACGAAAGUCGGUCUUAGUGAUCCGGUGGUUCUGUGUGGAAGGGCCAUCGCUCAAAGGAUAAAAGGUACCCCGGGGAUAACAGGCUGAUCUCCCCCAAGAGCUCACAUCGACGGGGAGGUUUGGCACCUCGAUGUCGGCUCAUCGCAUCCUGGGGCUGGAGCAGGUCCCAAGGGUAUGGCUGUUCGCCAUUUAAAGCGGUACGCGAGCUGGGUUCAGAACGUCGUGAGACAGUUCGGUCCCUAUCUGCCGUGGGCGUAAGAAGAUUGAAGAGAUUUGACCCUAGUACGAGAGGACCGGGUUGAACAAACCACUGGUGUAGCUGUUGUUCUGCCAAGAGCAUCGCAGCGUAGCUAAGUUUGGAAAGGAUAAACGCUGAAAGCAUCUAAGCGUGAAGCCAACUCUAAGAUGAAUCUUCUCUAAGCUCUCUAGAAGACUACUAGUUUGAUAGGCUGGGUGUGUAAUGGAUGAAAGUCCUUUAGCUGACCAGUACUAAUAGAGCGUUUGGCUUAUCUUU